AGUGAACGCUGGCGGUAGGCCUAACACAUGCAAGUCGAACGGCAGCACAGUAAGAGCUUGCUCUUACGGGUGGCGAGUGGCGGACGGGUGAGGAAUACAUCGGAAUCUACUUUUUCGUGGGGGAUAACGUAGGGAAACUUACGCUAAUACCGCAUACGACCUACGGGUGAAAGCAGGGGAUCUUCGGACCUUGCGCGAUUGAAUGAGCCGAUGUCGGAUUAGCUAGUUGGCGGGGUAAAGGCCCACCAAGGGGACGAUCCGUAGCUGGUCGGAGAGGAUGGUCGCCCACCGUUGAAGGGGGCCACGAGCCGAGCGACUAAGGGACGGAGCAGUGGGCGACUUGGGGCAAGGGGGGAGAGCAUGACCCAGCCAGCCCGGGCGGGAGAAGACGGCCCGUGGGUUGUAAAGACCUUUUUUGGGGAAAAAAAAGCAGUCGCUUAUAACCCCGCGGUUUUGACGGUAACCAAAGAAGAAGCACCGGCUAACUACGU
RNAcentral lists this ribosomal RNA (491 nucleotides) under uncultured bacterium. RNAcentral's name for it is "partial 16S ribosomal RNA". It matches the Rfam family "Bacterial small subunit ribosomal RNA", at positions 30 to 506 of the family's 1533-position model. The record is from RNAcentral.